This is a long non-coding RNA of Felis catus (domestic cat), 1207 nucleotides long. RefSeq lists it as uncharacterized. NCBI's taxonomy places the organism in Eukaryota, Metazoa, Chordata, Mammalia, Carnivora, Felidae. The transcript has 3 exons. The record is from RefSeq and is a predicted model, not a curated record.
UAUGACCCUGAGACCAAGGCCUGAGGUACAAUCAAGAGUUGGAUGCUUAACUGACAGAGCCACCCAGGCGCCCCUCUCCUUUGCUUUCAAACAUCAACCUGUAUGAUGAUGUGUGGUGUUGCAAGAACAAUCUAAAUGCAAAUCUACUGGAAAAUAAUUUUUGCCUAACUUCCCUAACUGUUCAUGAACAGCGCCAAUACAGGGAGUAGACUUUAGAAGUUUAGCAGGGGUCUUCAAACGAUAGAGCCACAGGCCAAAUCAGUGGCCUGUCACCUGCUUUUUGUACAUCUUGUGGGCUAAGAAUUGUUUUUACAUUUUUAAAUGUUGAAAAAAAUCAAAAUAAUAAUAUUUUGUGAUACUUGAAAACUGUAUGAAAUUCAGAUUUCAGGCUGAAACAAUGUUUUAUUGAAGCACAGCCACGUUUACUUAUUUACAUAUUGGCUAAGGCUGCUUUUGUGUUGCAACAGCAGAGUUGAGUGAUUGUGACAGAAAUUCUACGGCCCACAGAACCUAAAGUCUUUAUUACAUCACCCCUUACAGAGAGAAUUUGUCAACUCCUGAUCUACAGACAUGAAUUGUCCAGGAAAAUUUGGACUAGGAGGCUGGGGUUUCUUCUUUGCCCAGAAGCCUGUAUCCGGUGCUGUCUUUAUUCUUCAGGGCUGCUACAGCCUACCAUAGACUGUGUAGCUUAUCAACAACGGAGAUGCAUUGCUCACAGUCCUGGAGGCUGAGAAGUUCAAGACCAAAGCACCUGCAUGGUCAGCUUCUGGGGUCAGGCAACAUGCUACUUACUCCCUCAUGUGUUUCAUCUUGGUCGCGGCCACUGUGCUGGUGAACGUUGUUAGUCCCGGGGACACGUCUGGAGCUGUGCUGGGGAUUGUCCUCGCAUCUGAAAAUCAAUGCACAGCCCUUAUUGACUUCAUCAGCACCCCGGCAACUUCCAGGCAACAUUCAAGGGCAAUCAGAAAACCGAAGUUAAUCCACCUGUGCCACUAGGGCUCUCCUGGGGGCACUCCCAGAUAAAGGUCCUGCCUGCUCAACUUUACGUCAGAGGCUGCUUCCUGAAGAACCCAGGCCAUGACACAUGGGUACCUGGUUGGGAGGAUGUGGGGGCAUGAAGGUGGUUUUCUCAUUGACUUCAACAAGUUGAGUAAUAAAUAAGAAUGAUAAUAAAUAUACAAAUGGAACCCUAUACUCCCCCCCCACA